AACGAACGCUGGCGGCAUGCCUAACACAUGCAAGUCGAACGAGACCUUCGGGUCUAGUGGCGCACGGGUGCGUAACGCGUUGGAACCUGCCCUUAGGGUCGGGAUAACUCCCCGAAAGGGGUGCUAAUACCGGAUAAUGUCUUCGGACCAAAGAUUUAUCGCCCUUGGAUGGGCCCGCGUUGGAUUAGCUAGUUGGUAGGGUAAAAGCCUACCAAGGCGACGAUCCAUAGCUGGUCUGAGAGGAUGAUCAGCCACACUGGGACUGAGACACGGCCCAGACUCCUACGGGAGGCAGCAGUGGGGAAUAUUGGACAAUGGGCGAAAGCCUGAUCCAGCAAUGCCGCGUGAGUGAUGAAGGCCUUAGGGUUGUAAAGCUCUUUUACCCGGGAUGAUAAUGACAGUACCGGGAGAAUAAGCUCCGGCUAACUCCGUG
This 433-nucleotide ribosomal RNA is filed under the name uncultured bacterium. RNAcentral's name for it is "partial 16S ribosomal RNA". It matches the Rfam family "Bacterial small subunit ribosomal RNA", at positions 29 to 507 of the family's 1533-position model. The record is from RNAcentral.